RNAcentral lists this ribosomal RNA (120 nucleotides) under Ovis aries (sheep). Lineage: Eukaryota; Metazoa; Chordata; Mammalia; Artiodactyla; Bovidae. The record is from RNAcentral.
GUCUAUAGCCAUAACACCCUGAACACGCCCGAUCUCAUCUGAUCUCGGAAGUUAAACAGGGUUGGGCCUGGUUAGUACUUGGAUGGGAGAAAAGCUUCUUGGAUGCAGAGGUACUUGACA